CAAGUACUCCCUCAGUCCCUAAUUAACCGACUCAGAUUUGUCUAGAUACAGAUGUACCUAGACAAUAAAACAUGCCUAGAUACAUCCAUAUCUAGACAAAUCCGAAUCAGUUAAUUUAGGACCGAAGGAGUAAUAA
Non-coding RNA from Triticum urartu, 136 nucleotides. Lineage: Eukaryota; Viridiplantae; Streptophyta; Magnoliopsida; Poales; Poaceae. The record is from Rfam.